RNAcentral lists this long non-coding RNA (388 nucleotides) under Brassica napus (rape). RNAcentral describes it as "long non-coding RNA (BNAP_LNC008455)". The record is from RNAcentral. Lineage: Eukaryota; Viridiplantae; Streptophyta; Magnoliopsida; Brassicales; Brassicaceae.
AAAAUUCUUAUUAUCCCUAUAUCUUAAUCACAACCCCAAAUCUACAAUACAUUUUUUACAAAAAUGAAAACUUUACUAAAAUAGAAUUUUUAGUAUUUUAUUUUAAAAAUACAACCUAUGAAUCAAAAAAGCUAAAAGAAUAUUCAUGUAUCAACAACAAAACUGGCUAUAAAAAAUCUACAAUAUUUUUCUACAAAAGUGAAAAUUUCACUAAAAUAGAAUUUUUGAAAAUAUUAUUUAAAAAAUACAACCAAUUGAUUAGAAAAUCUAUAAAAAAUGCUCGUUUAUCAACAAAAAUUAUUGUUAUCCAUAUAUCUUUAUCACAACCCCAAAUAUACAAUAUCUUUCUAUAAAAUUGAAAACUUUUAUAAAAUAGAAUAAUUAGAAU